RNAcentral lists this ribosomal RNA (456 nucleotides) under Triticum aestivum (bread wheat). RNAcentral describes it as "partial small subunit ribosomal RNA". Lineage: Eukaryota; Viridiplantae; Streptophyta; Magnoliopsida; Poales; Poaceae. The record is from RNAcentral.
AUGGAGAAGCGGGGAUCCUGGACGAGCUCCUCUCCCGGCGGCAAGAUGAGGAUCUGCGAAGACGUCCUGGUCAACGCCAUCACCUCGCCUCCAACUUGCGCAGGUCGCGCCUGCCCAGAUUUUGCACCACUGCCCACCGGUUCUCCAGAUCAUGCUCGGCCACCACGCUGUCUUGGCUCAGCUCUGCCCAUGACGGCCGCCAUGUCCGCGUCGCCGUUGGCCGCUGCUGCUCCUCCACUGCGGGCCGCCGCAGCUCUCUGCCUGUCGUUGCUGCCACGAGGCCGUCGGCCACCGCUGCUCCUUCGGCAGCCGCAUCCAGUCGUUGCUGUGGAGCCUGGGGCAGGAGGAGGAGAGGGCAUGAGCGCAAGGGAGGGUGGCGGCGGUUACCCUAGCCGGGUGCGAGGGGAGAAGCACUCGUUUUUGUUUUCUUUUUGUAUUUCUUCGUUCGUUCGGUAA